This 80-nucleotide microRNA precursor is filed under the name Ascaris suum (pig roundworm). RNAcentral's name for it is "microRNA asu-mir-5359 precursor". Lineage: Eukaryota; Metazoa; Nematoda; Chromadorea; Rhabditida; Ascarididae. The record is from miRBase by way of RNAcentral.
ACAAUGUGUGGUCUGGGAUUGUCUAUAUUGGUAAAAGUGAAUGCAUACCAAUAUCCACAAUCCUUGAGCAGGCAAAUGUC